AAGUCGUAACAAGGUUUCCGUAGGUGAACCUGCGGAAGGAUCAUUAACACGUAUCCUACGUAUCAACCCCUUUGUGCACUUUCUGUUAUAGUUGUUGAAGGAUUUGAACUUGAAGGUUAGUGGCGUUGUGAGGUCGCAAGACUUUGCUUCGUUGUUGCCUUCAGGGUCAGAAACUUUCAUAGCUUCAACUAACCCCUUUGUAAACAUUUCUUACUGAAAUAAUGUGAGUGCGUGCUGGAAACGGAUAUCUUGGUUCUC
Molecule: unclassified non-coding RNA, 258 nt
Filed under: fungal sp.
Lineage: Eukaryota; Fungi
Description: partial internal transcribed spacer region
Rfam family: Eukaryotic small subunit ribosomal RNA (bases 1-46)
Source: RNAcentral